RNAcentral lists this ribosomal RNA (301 nucleotides) under uncultured bacterium. Its description in RNAcentral is "partial 16S ribosomal RNA". It matches the Rfam family "Bacterial small subunit ribosomal RNA", at positions 509 to 807 of the family's 1533-position model. The record is from RNAcentral.
CAGCCGCCACGGGAAAACGGAGGGUGCAAGCGUUAUCCGGAUUUAUUGGGUUUAAAGGGUCCGUAGGCGGAUCUGUAAGUCAGUGGUGAAAUCUCACAGCUUAACUGUGAAACUGCCAUUGAUACUGCAGGUCUUGAGUAAAUUUGAAGUGGCUGGAAUAAGUAGUGUAGCGGUGAAAUGCAUAGAUAUUACUUAGAACACCAAUUGCGAAGGCAGGUCACUAAGAUUUAACUGACGCUGAUGGACGAAAGCGUGGGGAGCGAACAGGAUUAGAUACCCCUGUAGUCCCUGUCUCUUAUAC